AUUGAACGCUGGCGGCAGGCCUAACACAUGCAAGUCGAACGGUAACAGGAAGCAGCUUGCUGCUUUGCUGACGAGUGGCGGACGGGUGAGUAAUGUCUGGGAAACUGCCUGCUGGAGGGGGAUAACUACUGGAAACGGUAGCUAAUACCGCAUAACGUCGCAAGACCAAAGAGGGGGACCUUCGGGCCUCUUGCCAUCGGAUGUGCCCAGAUGGGAUUAGCUAGUAGGUGGGGUUACGGCUCACCUAGGCGACGAUCCGUAUCUGGUCUGAGAGGAGGACCGGCCACACUGGAGCGUAGACACGGUCCAGACGCCUACGAGAGGCAGCAGUGGGGAAUAUUGCACAAUGGGCGCAAGCCUGAUGCAGCCAGGCCGCGUGUAUGAAGAAGGCCUUCGGGGUGGAAAGUACGUUCAGCGGGUAGGAAGGGAGUAAGGUUAAUACCUUGGCUCAUUGACGUUACCCGCAGAAGAAGCACCGGCUAACUCCGUG
RNAcentral lists this ribosomal RNA (490 nucleotides) under uncultured bacterium. RNAcentral's name for it is "partial 16S ribosomal RNA". It matches the Rfam family "Bacterial small subunit ribosomal RNA", at positions 30 to 507 of the family's 1533-position model. The record is from RNAcentral.